AACGGACGAAAUCUUCCAGCGCCUUGAUCGGACGAUCCGCGACGCAUCCGACCUGAUCCCAUCUCUGCAGCGCGAUCCAACGGCAGCGCUUCACCCAGAUCGUGAUCCGACGGCCCAGAAUCGCUCCCGGCUUGAUUUAUUAGAUGAAUUGGGUCCUUUAGAUGAAGAUCGGACGGCUGAAAUAAUUUCUAGGGUUUCUUGAUGGAUUUAAGUACUUUUUGAGCGAGAUUUGAUCCCCUAAACCCCUCUAACAGCCCUCUAAAAUCUCUUAGUCCCACAUCUAAAGUUUUGAAAAUCUGAUAACCCCCAAAUGCCUAUAAAAAGCCCCCAAAGGCCCUUGUUUUAAUGAUUCUUUCCUUCCGAUCAAGCUGGUAACCC
Molecule: long non-coding RNA, 378 nt
Filed under: Elaeis guineensis (African oil palm)
Lineage: Eukaryota; Viridiplantae; Streptophyta; Magnoliopsida; Arecales; Arecaceae
Description: long non-coding RNA (EGUI_LNC029835)
Source: RNAcentral